This 253-nucleotide ribosomal RNA is filed under the name uncultured bacterium. Its description in RNAcentral is "partial 16S ribosomal RNA". It matches the Rfam family "Bacterial small subunit ribosomal RNA", at positions 524 to 776 of the family's 1533-position model. The record is from RNAcentral.
UACAGAGGUGGCAAGCGUUGUUCGGAAUUACUGGGCGUAAAGGGCGCGUAGGCGGCCUUCUAAGUCAGACGUGAAAUCCCCCGGCUUAACCUGGGAACUGCGUCUGAUACUGGAAGGCUUGAGUGCGGGAGAGGGAUGUGGAAUUCCAGGUGUAGCGGUGAAAUGCGUAGAUAUCAGGAGGAACACCGGUGGCGAAGGCGGGUCUCUGGGCCGAUACUGACGCUGAGGAGCGAAAGCGUGGGGAGCAAACAGG